CGAAGGCUUCUCAUCCCCCUAGAGUCCCACUAAUAUUAGAAGGCCAGUUAUGGCAGACCUUGGAUUCCAAUAAUUUUAAGGGCUGUGUCGCUUGCAUCCUAGCACGUGUAUGAAGUACUGUCCAUUUUUGGUUGAUAUUUGAAAUAUUUUGUCGGACCUGCUGUGGUUGUAUGGCCAAUUUAUAUUUACUCUGCAAGCCAUGCUCUUGGAGAUUGGAUUGCAAAGAUUGUGGAGUGUAGACCGACGAUCGACAGAUAUGAGCAUUAGUCUUCCUCAGGAAACAGCUGCUUCCCCAUGUUUGUGCGGUUUCUAUUGAGUGAUUAUAUGCCUGUGAGAUGAAAUAAGUUGCAAAAAAGUCCAGUUUACCGAUUGAAAAAGUUUG
Molecule: long non-coding RNA, 382 nt
Filed under: Elaeis guineensis (African oil palm)
Lineage: Eukaryota; Viridiplantae; Streptophyta; Magnoliopsida; Arecales; Arecaceae
Description: long non-coding RNA (EGUI_LNC048523)
Source: RNAcentral